Molecule: transfer RNA, 61 nt
Filed under: Rhadinaea hesperia
Lineage: Eukaryota; Metazoa; Chordata; Lepidosauria; Squamata; Dipsadidae
Description: tRNA-His
Source: RNAcentral
UGCGUGUAAUUUAAAAAAAAUACUAAGCUGUGACCUUAACAAUAGGAACUUCCUCACACAG